Molecule: long non-coding RNA, 659 nt
Organism: Mus musculus (house mouse)
Lineage: Eukaryota; Metazoa; Chordata; Mammalia; Rodentia; Muridae
Product: predicted gene, 39097
Exons: 3
Source: RefSeq, a predicted model, not a curated record
CCACUCUCAGCUUCCAGCUUCUGUCACCAUACCUGAAGCUUGCUGCCACACUACCCUACCAUGAUGAACGCUGACCCCUGGAAACAUUAAGCCAAGCUCCCGACCUCUUCCCAAGUCUUCAGUUCCCCUUCUACUUUCAAGUCUUCGUGUUGAUGUUGUCAUCCAGAGCUGCUGUGAGCGUGUGCAUUCAACAGACACUUCAGACCUGGAAGACAGAGUACCCAACUUCACGUCUGGAGAGCUGUGCCUGGAUGUGUGUGCCGCUCUAACAGGAGAUUCGAGAAUGGGUCUUUUAUCCGGAGCACCGCUGUAUUGGAGGACACAAUUAGAGGCCACAAUGCUAAUGACUGUAGAUUCUUGAACCCUUUUCAGAAGCCAAACCUAGAAUGGCAGCGAAAGUGAGACAGCGAAAGAGAGGAGCUGGACCCGUCUUUUACGGGAGUCCCAUUCCUGCAAUCCCAGCAAUGACCCCGUCCCUCUGGCUCUUUGGCUCUUCUUCGUAGAUGUCGCCUCCCUUCCCAGUACCACUGCAUUGGGAAUCAGGGUUGCAACUCGUGAAUCUGAGGACGCACAGUCAUGUAACAAGUUAAGCCUUUGUGUUUAUAAAGAGUGUAUGCCAUUUUCUAGGGUUGUUUAUUGGCAUUAUUCAAAAUGAAAUG